AUUAUCCCAGAAGUUGUUUUUUCAUGGUUCGAUAAUAUUUGGCAAGGUUGUCAGAAGUGUAAACACUUUUAGCCGGUAAGGAGCAAUGUAAGACUUCUCCCAGCUGUCAGAGACUCUUGAAAGAAGGCCGGAAAAAGAAAGUGUUAGAGGGACAACCUUUCUUUUACUGCUAUCUCCUCGAUCAAAACACGAAAUCGUAACUGACUUGAAUUCUCGGAUACUAGUGUUAAGUCUCAAUUCGGGCGGCCAAGCGUCACUAAAUACAGAGACAAAUUUUGUCAGAUUUCAAACAAACUGAACACGACCUUAGUGUCAAUGACGUAGAUCGCUAUUAACACGAAAAUAUAACAAACAUCUGUGAAAGAGAAUCAAACCAAAAAUGGAGGAAAGAUCUCUGGAAGAAAGAAUCGCAUUGGCUCUCAUUCUCGGACUUAUUAUUAUAUGUGGGGUCAUUGGAAACGCUUUCGUUAUCAUUGCGACUAUCAAAUUCGAACGAAUACGUCGAACCAACUCUAACUUUCUUCUGCUCAAUCUUGCAAUAGCAGACAUUCUCAGUUCUUCGGUGAUAAUGCCAUACCAUUUGGCAACGGUGAUUAAUUUGGACAUAGUUAGUUCUAAUGGAGUGGUUUGCUGGAUUGGUGGCGCGAUUACAUAUCCUAUUCUCAUAGCCUCAACUUUGACUGUGGUAAUGUUAGCAGCGGAUCGUUAUAUCGCGAUGAUGGAUCCCCUACGAUACAAGGCCAGAAUAACAUCUAGAACUAUUAUCUACAUGAUUUGUUACACCUGGUUGCACUCUGUCUUUUUCGCAGUUCUUGCUGCCUCUUUAGUGAAAAUUGAAUUUGAUAAAGUGAGUUUGGAUUGUGGUGUGUCUUGGGACAAAACACCGUUGUGGUUCGGUGUAAUAUCAAUGAUCCUCAACAUCGUUGCACCAUUCAUAUUCAUGGCUUGCUCGAGUUUAAAAGUCUUAGCUAUUGCUAGGAAACAGCAUAAAAUAAUUGAAACCGAAGCAGCCAAGCGACAAGGAGGAAGGAACGCUAAAGUACGCGAAUCCAAAGCCACCUCAGCUAUCCUGUUAGUCAUCCUGUUGUUUCUCAUCGCGUGGCUACCCUACCUAGUUACGAGGGUCAUACGUGUCUUCAAUAUCAUUUUACCAUCAACGGCAUAUACCACCGCCAUAUGGAUUCUUCAUGUCAACGCUGUGGUGAACUUCUUUAUUUAUACGCGACGAAAUCAAGAUUACAGAAGGGCCUUUAUGUCUAUGAUAAAACCACGAAAUAGUUCAGAAAACUCGGUCGAGCCUUAUAGUUGUAAUUAAACAAAAAGUAUCCAUGACUUCUUGAAGAUGUGAAUGUGUUGCAUCAAGCAAAUUUUCUUGGAAAAAUGUAUGAAUUCGUCAGUACUUUGAAGCGUAUGUUGCUGGAAAAAUUAUGUUGUCAUCAUACAAAUCGAGGCGAGGCAAGCCUUAUACAAUAAUUUGUUAUCGACCAAUUGCUGUUUUUCUUGGUCGUUUUCUUUGAAAUGAAAGAAAUAGCCGGUUAUUGGUGACUUAUCUGUUAUGUUAACCAACACUGGCUGCAAUGUCCUUUCUUAUUUCAUUUUCUUGGGACCGAAUGCAAACCAACUAUCAACUAAAAAAUAUCAUCUAGAUACCUUUUAAAUUUAAAGAUGUGUCUGUUUUAACGAGUGAAUUGCCAUGGCUCUAUUCAGUGUUAAAUCAACCUGAACAUGGCCGUCUCUCGAAGUCACCCAUCCAUUCUCUUGACCAGAAUAAGUACUAACAAAUAUCCUCUAAAUAUAUUGGAAAAAGCGAUUCACGAAAUGUUUUGCUAGAUUUUGCGGUUUCUAUACGAAGGUUAGAAUGACGAAAGAAUAGCACAGCGAUAACCACUAAUGUCUAGGUGCGGACAGACGGUGCGGAGUGUAUUGCACGCGACGGUGCCAACAUCCCUGAAAAAGUAAUUUCUACUUCUGUGACGUUGCAUGCAACAUCACCUCGUAAGGCACCCCCACCCCUCCAUCCCCCAGAAAACUUCGCCUUUUUCGUGCAACGUCUAAGGCGAUGUCCCAUCGUGUGUCCGCACGAUAAGCAGAUAUUCAAACGAGGUAGCAAGGUAGGAAUGUUUAAAUUCAAACACCGUUGAACCUUAGUUAUGAGCAAAAAAGUCAUUUGACUUCACUAUAAAAUGCUCAAACCUCUACUUGUUUUAAUACGCAGCUACUCUUGCUUAAGAGGAAAGUAUUACGAACAAUAGUCCCCUUGACAGUUCCCUGCGCCAUCUUGAAAGGUAUAGCCGAGCCUUUGCAUCAAAGUGAGACGAACGGUGAGCUUGCAAUGAUAGAGACCUUUUUUUAACACCUUGG
This 2361-nucleotide unclassified non-coding RNA is filed under the name Actinia tenebrosa (Australian red waratah sea anemone). RNAcentral's name for it is "d(2) dopamine receptor-like, transcript variant X2". The record is from RNAcentral. Lineage: Eukaryota; Metazoa; Cnidaria; Anthozoa; Actiniaria; Actiniidae.